This is a non-coding RNA of Triticum urartu, 115 nucleotides long. NCBI's taxonomy places the organism in Eukaryota, Viridiplantae, Streptophyta, Magnoliopsida, Poales, Poaceae. The record is from Rfam.
AACAUACUCCCUCUGGUCUGAAUUACUUGUCGCAGGUAUGGAUGUAUCUAGAUGUAUUUUAGUUCUAUAUACAUCCAUUUCUGCGACGAGUAAUUUGGAACAGAGGGAGUACUUG